GUGAGGAAUAUUGGACAAUGGGCGCAAGCCUGAUCCAGCCAUGCCGCGUGCAGGAAGACGCAUCUAUGGUGUGUAAACUGCUUUUGUACGGGAAGAAACACUCCCUCGUGAGGGAGCUUGACGAUACCGUAAGAAUAAGGAUCGGCUAACUCCGUGCCAGCAGCCGCGGUAAUACGGAGGAUCCAAGCGUUAUCCGGAAUCAUUGGGUUUAAAGGGUCCGUAGGCGGUUUAAUAAGUCAGUGGUGAAAGCCCAUCGCUCAACGAUGGAACGGCCAUUGAUACUGUUAGACUUGAAUUACAAGGAAGUAACUAGAAUAUGUAGUGUAGCGGUGAAAUGCUUAGAUAUUACAUGGAAUACCAAUUGCGAAGGCAGGUUACUACUUGUGGAUUGACGCUGAUGGACGAAAGCGUGGGGAGCGAACAGGAUUAGAAACCCUAGUAGUCC
RNAcentral lists this ribosomal RNA (445 nucleotides) under uncultured bacterium. RNAcentral describes it as "partial 16S ribosomal RNA". It matches the Rfam family "Bacterial small subunit ribosomal RNA", at positions 354 to 796 of the family's 1533-position model. The record is from RNAcentral.